RNAcentral lists this ribosomal RNA (164 nucleotides) under Musa nagensium. RNAcentral describes it as "5.8S ribosomal RNA". It matches the Rfam family "5.8S ribosomal RNA". From Rfam's summary of the family: 5.8S ribosomal RNA (5.8S rRNA) is a component of the large subunit of the eukaryotic ribosome. Lineage: Eukaryota; Viridiplantae; Streptophyta; Magnoliopsida; Zingiberales; Musaceae. The record is from RNAcentral.
UGGACGACUCUCGGCAACGGAUAUCUUGGCUCUCGCAUCGAUGAAGAACGUAGCGAAAUGCGAUACCUGGUGUGAAUUGCAGAAUCCCGUGAACCAUCGAGUCUUUGAACGCAAGUUGCGCCCGAGGCCAUCCGGCCAAGGGCACGCCUGCCUGGGCGUCACGC